Cyanistes caeruleus (blue tit) is the source of this 1720-nucleotide long non-coding RNA. Lineage: Eukaryota; Metazoa; Chordata; Aves; Passeriformes; Paridae. The record is from Ensembl.
CUAGUGCAGGGAGCACAGCUUCCCCUUGGGAGUGUGGUGGGAAAGCUCAGGGGUACAUUUUCCCUGAGAAGCAUCUAUGGCAGGGGAGGUCUGAGCCUUUGGAAGAGAAGUGCCCACUCCAAGUCACAUUCCCACCCCACAGCUCGAGCACCCCUGUGCCUUCCAGGGGCCUGGCACUGGCACUGUGUCCCAGAGUGACAUGGAUGGGGAAUGAAGGGCAUCUCCCUGGGCAGCACAGCCGAGGCAGGGGGUUCAUACAGCAACAGCAAGGGGGGAACAGUUGGGAGAGUUUUCCAUGCAAUGCUCCAGCCACUCCAGCCACGAGCAGCUGUCAGUGGCCCCUACCUGCAGCUAUUGACUGAGCAAAUAAUCCCCAGGUAUCCUUUUCUCCUGACAAAAGCUGGGUUUUUUUCUAUUAUUGUCAGAGGUGUUUAUUAGAGCGGAAAAAUAAUAGUGAUUUGCUUGCAGCCUGAUUGCCGGGAAGUGUCGGGUGUGGGCACACAGCCUCGACAGCUGGGACCAGACUGACACCAUGGGCACAGCGAGGUGAGGGCUCUGCUGGGGGGAGAAAAGCCCCUGCCCAGCUGGUUUGAUGAGAGGCAGCAUCAAAGGGAAAUUUCUUUACAGCAAUGGCAGAAGAUGCUUCACAAGUCUGAGCUCUGGAGUGACUCAGCAGAAAAGAGCAGGAAUUUCCAGGAGUAUGAGGGGUGAGAGGCUGGUACAGGGCUUGGCCAAAGGACAUAGGGAGGUUCCUCUGCCACAGACACCUGUGCAACAGAGGAAUGUGUCAGGAGCCAUUCAAGGUCAGCCUCUAGGACCCCUGCCAUCAAUCCUCUCCAAUUUGCAGCUGCCUAGCUGGGGAGGAGCUGGCAGUGGCACAGGGACAAGCACCAAGGACAUCUCCGGUGUUUGGGUGACCACAGCCUGCAGACACAGGAGGGUCCUGGAUAGGCUCCUGUCCCAUGGUGGCAGGCUGCCCAUGUCCCCCUGUGAUCCAGAGCCAAGGGUCCUCUCUUGACCACCUCUGCCCACCUAUAGAGUGACUUGAUGGGGAGCCCUCUGCUCCCUCCUCAUUGCUGAUGGCUGAACAAGAGGGCAGUCUGAAUUAAUUGUAUUGGGCACCAAUUAACCAGCUCUUCUCACCCAUUAGAGACUGCAGAAGCUUUUGCACUUGAAUCUUGCAUCUUACAUGACUGGCAAUAUUCUAUUAUUUAGGGAAUGAAAAGAAGAAAGGGAAAAUCCCUUUAGGGGAGGCAGGUUUUGCUGCCUGCAGAGCUGAUACACACUGGGAAUGCACUUUAUUCUGUUUAAGAGGAAUGAUCCACCCAGCAGGGAUGGAAUCAGAGGCACAGAGAGGGAGCUGAGAGCUCCCAGGUACCGGGUGUGGGGCUGCCGCCUGUGGACUGCAACCAGAGCUGCCCGCAGGGUCUGGCCAUGCCCACGGGCUGCUGCCCAACGCCAUCCAACGCACUGCGACCAGGAAAAACCCCGCAGCCGCUUCCUCUUUCCACCUUCCCCCUUGCCUGAUGGCCUCAGGCUUGGGAGGCUCUCAUGUCACAAACUGGGAGCCAUUGCCUCACCGCUCACCCCAAAAUCUGCCUCGUGAGCAUCCACCCUCCCUCCAAACUGUGCUCCCCUUGCUGUCCUACACCGUGCUCUGUGUCACCAUCGUGCCUCUGCACCGUGGGACCCUCUGUUACCCAGCUCUGCACCCCGGCAG